This 429-nucleotide ribosomal RNA is filed under the name Chloroflexota bacterium. RNAcentral describes it as "Chloroflexi bacterium partial 16S ribosomal RNA". It matches the Rfam family "Bacterial small subunit ribosomal RNA", at positions 355 to 776 of the family's 1533-position model. Lineage: Bacteria; Bacillati; Chloroflexota. The record is from RNAcentral.
UGGGGAAUUUUGCACAAUGGGCGCAAGCCUGAUGCAGCCAUGCCGCGUGUAUGAAGAAGGCCUUCGGGUUGUAAAGUACUUUUAGCGGGGAGGAAGGGAGUAAAGUUAAUACCUUUGCUCAUUGACGUUACCCGCAGAAGAAGCACCGGCUAACUCCGUGCCAGCAGCCGCGGUAAUACGGAGGGUGCAAGCGUUAAUCGGAAUUACUGGGCGUAAAGCGCACGCAGGCGGUUUGUUAAGUCAGAUGUGAAAUCCCCGGGCUCAACCUAGGAACUGCAUCUGAUACUGGCAAGCUUGAGUCUCGUAGAGGGGGGAAGAAUUCCAGGUGUAGCGGUGAAAUGCGUAGAGAUCUGGAGGAAUACCGGUGGCGAAGGCGGCCCCCUGGACGAAGACUGACGCUCAGGUGCGAAAGCGUGGGGAGCAAACAGG